GACGAACGCUGGCGGCGUGCUUAACACAUGCAAGUCGAGCGGUAAGGCCCCUUCGGGGGUACACGAGUGGCAGACGGGUGCGUAACACGUAGAUGAUGUGCACUGCCCUUCGAGAUAGGCAUGGGUAACUGAGUCUGGUACCAGUAAGGGCCACGCUAUGCAUGGGGAGGGGUGGAAAGCGUGUGCGGUGUUGGAUGGUACCGCGGCCUAUGUGCUUGUUGGUGGGGUUAGGGGCUACGAUGGCGACGUCGGGUAGCCGGCCUGCGAGGGUGUCCGGCGACACGGGGACUGAGAUACGGCCCAGACGCCUACGGGAGGCAGCAGGGGGGAACAUUGCAGAAUGGGCGCAAGCGUGAGGCAGCGACGCCGCGUGGGGGAUGACGGCCUUCGGGUUGUAAACCUCUUUCAGUACAGACGAAGCGCAAUUGACGGUAGGUACAGAAGAAGCACCGGCUAACUACGUG
This 464-nucleotide ribosomal RNA is filed under the name uncultured bacterium. RNAcentral's name for it is "partial 16S ribosomal RNA". It matches the Rfam family "Bacterial small subunit ribosomal RNA", at positions 28 to 507 of the family's 1533-position model. The record is from RNAcentral.